GAUGAACGCUGGCGGCGUGCCUAAUACAUGCAAGUAGAACGCUGAAGGAGGAGCUUGCUCUUCUGGAUGAGUUGCGAACGGGUGAGUAACGCGUAGGUAACCUGCCUGGUAGCGGGGGAUAACUAUUGGAAACGAUAGCCAAUACCGCAUGACAACAGUUAUUGCAUGAUAACUGUUUAAAAGGGGCAACUGCUCCACUACCAGAUGGACCUGCGUUGUAUUAGCUAGUUGGUGAGGUAACGGCUCACCAAGGCGACGAUACAUAGCCGACCUGAGAGGGUGAUCGGCCACACUGGGACUGAGACACGGCCCAGACUCCUACGGGAGGCAGCAGUAGGGAAUCUUCGGCAAUGGACGGAAGUCUGACCGAGCAACGCCGCGUGAGUGAAGAAGGUUUUCGGAUCGUAAAGCUCUGUUGUAAGAGAAGAACGAGUGUGAGAGUGGAAAGUUCACACUGUGACGGUAUCUUACCAGAAAGGGACGGCUAACUACGUG
This 495-nucleotide ribosomal RNA is filed under the name uncultured bacterium. Its description in RNAcentral is "partial 16S ribosomal RNA". It matches the Rfam family "Bacterial small subunit ribosomal RNA", at positions 28 to 507 of the family's 1533-position model. The record is from RNAcentral.